Molecule: ribosomal RNA, 522 nt
Filed under: embryophyte environmental sample
Lineage: Eukaryota; Viridiplantae; Streptophyta
Description: eukaryotic LSU rRNA
Rfam family: 5.8S ribosomal RNA (bases 106-261)
Source: RNAcentral
CGUACCCUGGAAACAGAAGCGCCAAGGAACAUGGAUACAAGUGUGCCUUUCUUCAGCUGGUUCGCCAGAUGUAGAGGUGGCACCAAGUCGUAUAUAACAUUAAACGACUUUCGGCAACGGAUAUUUCGGCUCUCGCAUCGAUGAAGAACGUAGCGAAAUGCGAUACUUGGUGUGAAUUGCAGAAUCCCGUGAACCAUCGAGUCUUUGAACGCAAGUUGCGCCCGAAGCCUUUAGGUCGAGGGCACGCCUGCCUGGGCGUCACGCAUCGCGUCUCCCCCCACCCACCUUCAGUGGGAGGGGCGGAGGAUGAUGGCCUCCCAUGCCUCACCGGGUGUGGAUGGCCUAAAUACGGAGCCCCCGGUUAUGAAGUGCCGCGGCAUAGGUGAGAUACAAGGCCUAGCCUAGGAUACAUCGGAGUCGUGCACUUUUUAGCUUUUGAGGACUCGCAGGACCCUAAGUUUGGUUGCCCAUUGGGGCAUCAAAACCGUUGCGACCCCAGGUCAGGCGGGGCUACCCGCUGAG